CCUUCAGUUUGUUCGGGCGCGCUGGCGAGAGGGCCGCCCCCUUCCAGGGACAUCCUAACAUUCCAACCUCUUAUUGGUGAUAAUGGGCAAUGGAUCUGAUCUGGCUGCUUCCUGCGGUGUAAGGGCAAGGCCAUAGUAUGUGGGGUCUGAGGUUGGGAUGCAGGAAUGGGGCCAGACCACCAUCUGAUGAAAUGCGACCUGGGAAACUUCAUGAAUUCGUUUCCGUACGAAACGGAGAAAACAAGUUUCCGUGGGUGAGGAAUCCAGCCCAGCCUGACCGAAUGCCUCUCUUCAGAGUCUCUCCCAAGUCUGCAAUCAAGGGGUCAGCCAGGAUGGCAGCCUUCUCAAGGCUCAACGAGGGGAGGAUCCAAUUCCAAGGAUGAAAUGGAUUCUAGAGAUGGCUGAUUGUAAUGGCUACACAACAAAAUGAAUGCACUUAGGUCAGAAAUAAUUGUCUCCUCUUGGAAGCCACUGAUGGGACAAAACUUUGACAUGGAUCUGCAGAGUGAAAGGAAUGAUUCAAAGGACUUUGGAAGUAAAAUGCAUCUGGGAAUCCACAACAUUUGUUUCAUUUAUUCAUUCAUUCAUUUGUAUACAUUUAUGUAUAUUCUUUCAUCUAUUUAUCCAGCCUAUGUAUUAGUUUUCUACCACAACAGUAACCAAUAUCACAAAUUUAGUAUUUUAAUAUAACACACAUAUAGUACCUUACAAUUAUGUAGGUUAGAAGUACAGGUGAAAAUCAAAGUAUCAGCUGGCUAGGAUCUCAUGUGGAAUCUCAGAAAAGAAUCUUGUAAACUUAUAAACCCAUUCAGGUUGUUGCCAGAAUCCAAUUCCUUACAGAUGUAGAGUGAGGUUUUCACUUUCUUUCUCACGGCCAGCUGGAGAUUUCCCUUAGCUCCUAGAUAUCCGUCUCUGAUCCUUGCUUAUGGCCUUCUACAUAUAGGAACCAACAACUGGGCAGUCAUCCUUCUCAUACUUGGAAUCUCUCCGACUUCCUGUUACCAGGAUAAUUCAGGAAAUGGUCCACACCAUCUUAGGGUUCAUAAUCUGCAUUAUAUCUGCAAAGUCCCUGUGAAUGUAACACAUUCACAUCCAGGGUGUGAACUUCUCUGGAGGGCCAUUCUGCUUACCAAAGCCAACAGUAAUUAUUGUUGCUAUGGACCUUUUCUAUUUUCAAUAAAUUCUAUCUCAAUGAAUGGAGGAGGAGGGCUGCUUGGUAACCUUGUCAAAGCCCUGCCAAGAAGUGACCUCUUAGCCACAGGUUUCAUGAACAACCUCACAUUUUAACCAUUAAAAAAACAAAACAAAACAAAAAACAAAACUCAUUUCCAACCCUGAACUAUGUUAGUAGUUUUCUACUGGUUAUUUAAAAAAUUAUCAAAGUGUAUUUUUUAGUUUAUAGAAUCAUAAAUAGCCGACAGAAAUUGCACACAAAUAUAUAAUAAGGAUAUGACUUGUGUAACUAAUUUAUUGCUAAAUCUUCUACCUUGUGGGGAAGUGGGGAUUCUCAUACACUGCUACUGAAAGGUAAAUUUCUGGAGUGUGAUUUGGCAACAUAUAGAAAAGACCCCAAAUAUGUAUAGUCUUUAACACAUAAAUUGUCA
Molecule: long non-coding RNA, 1604 nt
Organism: Lynx canadensis (Canada lynx)
Lineage: Eukaryota; Metazoa; Chordata; Mammalia; Carnivora; Felidae
Exons: 4
Source: RefSeq, a predicted model, not a curated record